This 207-nucleotide long non-coding RNA is filed under the name Malus domestica (apple). Its description in RNAcentral is "long non-coding RNA (MDOM_LNC021298)". Lineage: Eukaryota; Viridiplantae; Streptophyta; Magnoliopsida; Rosales; Rosaceae. The record is from RNAcentral.
UUGCAUGAAAUUCGUAGAAAUUUAUCACCCAUUACUUCUAGUGUUGUUCCUUGUUGUUUUAAGUAUUUUUAAGAUGUUUUGGAGUGUUUAAGUGUGUUUUGACAUAAAAAUCCGAAAAUUCAUAAAAAUUUGAAAACUUGUUUUUGAAAAUCCAAAAAAGAGUUGUUUUUGUGCGCUUAUUUGUGUCUUAGGGUACCUUCCAACACA